Molecule: non-coding RNA, 74 nt
Organism: Actinotignum schaalii
Lineage: Bacteria; Bacillati; Actinomycetota; Actinomycetes; Actinomycetales; Actinomycetaceae
Source: Rfam
GGCGGGGUAGCUCAGAUGGUCAGAGCGCACGACUCAUAAUCGUGAGGUCGCGGGUUCAAUCCCCGCCCCCGCUA